Molecule: ribosomal RNA, 434 nt
Filed under: uncultured bacterium
Lineage: Bacteria
Description: partial 16S ribosomal RNA
Rfam family: Bacterial small subunit ribosomal RNA
Source: RNAcentral
AGCGAACGCUGGCGGCAGGCCUAACACAUGCAAGUCGAACGAACCUUUCGGGGUUAGUGGCGGACGGGUGAGGAACACGUGGGAACGUGACUUCAGGUUCGGAAUAACUCAGGGACAGUUGUGCUAAUACCGAAUGUGCCCUUCGGGGGGAAGAUUAAUCGCCUUUAGAGCGGCCCGCGUCUGAUUAGCUAGUUGGUUGAGGUAAUGGCUCACCAAGGCGACGAUCAGUAGCUGGUCUGAGAGGAUGAUCAGCCACAUUGGGACUGAGACACGGCCCAAACUCCUACGGGAGGCAGCAGUGGGGAAUCUUGCGCAAUGGGCGAAAGCCUGACGCAGCCAUGCCGCGUGAAUGAUGAAGGUCUUAGGAUUGUAAAAUUCUUUCACCGGGGACGAUAAUGACGGUACCCGGAGAAGAAGCCCCGGCUAACUUCGUG